GCUCUCGUGGCCUAGUUGGUUAGUGCGUCGUACUUAUAAGCAGUGCAGGAGUAUAUGCGAAGGUCGAGGGUUCGAUCCCCUCCGGGAGCA
This 90-nucleotide transfer RNA is filed under the name Paramuricea clavata. It matches the Rfam family "tRNA". From Rfam's summary of the family: Transfer RNA (tRNA) molecules are approximately 80 nucleotides in length. Their secondary structure includes four short double-helical elements and three loops (D, anti-codon, and T loops). Further hydrogen bonds mediate the characteristic L-shaped molecular structure. tRNAs have two regions of fundamental functional importance: the anti-codon, which is responsible for specific mRNA codon recognition, and the 3' end, to which the tRNAs corresponding amino acid is attached (by aminoacyl-tRNA synthetases). tRNAs cope with the degeneracy of the genetic code in two manners: having more than one tRNA (with a specific anti-codon) for a particular amino acid; and 'wobble' base-pairing, i.e. permitting non-standard base-pairing at the 3rd anti-codon position. Lineage: Eukaryota; Metazoa; Cnidaria; Anthozoa; Malacalcyonacea; Plexauridae. The record is from Rfam by way of RNAcentral.